GACGAACGCUGGCGGCGUGCUUAACACAUGCAAGUCGAACGGAAAGGCCCUGCUUUUGUGGGGUGCUCGAGUGGCGAACGGGUGAGUAACACGUGAGUAACCUGCCCUUGACUUUGGGAUAACUUCAGGAAACUAGGGCUAAUACCGGAUAGGAGCUCCUGCUGCAUGGUGGGGGUUGGAAAGUUUCGGCGGUUGGGGAUGGACUCGCGGCUUAUCAGCUUGUUGGUGGGGUAGUGGCUUACCAAGGCCUUGACGGGUAGCCGGCCUGAGAGGGUGACCGGCCACAUUGGGACUGAGAUACGGCCCAGACUCCUACGGGAGGCAGCAGUGGGGAAUAUUGCACAAUGGGCGGAAGCCUGAUGCAGCAACGCCGCGUGCGGGAUGACGGCCUUCGGGUUGUAAACCGCUUUCGCCUGUGACGAAGCGUGAGUGACGGUAAUGGGUAAAGAAGCACCGGCUAACUACGUG
RNAcentral lists this ribosomal RNA (468 nucleotides) under uncultured bacterium. Its description in RNAcentral is "partial 16S ribosomal RNA". It matches the Rfam family "Bacterial small subunit ribosomal RNA", at positions 28 to 507 of the family's 1533-position model. The record is from RNAcentral.